This 253-nucleotide ribosomal RNA is filed under the name uncultured bacterium. Its description in RNAcentral is "partial 16S ribosomal RNA". It matches the Rfam family "Bacterial small subunit ribosomal RNA", at positions 524 to 776 of the family's 1533-position model. The record is from RNAcentral.
UACGUAGGGUGCAAGCGUUAAUCGGAAUUACUGGGCGUAAAGCGUGCGCAGGCGGUUAUGCAAGACAGAGGUGAAAUCCCCGGGCUUAACCUGGGAACUGCAUUGGUGACUGGCAGGCUUUGAGUGUGGCAGAGGGAGGUAGAAUUCCACGUGUAGCAGUGAAAUGCGUAGAGAUGUGGAGGAAUACCGAUGGCGAAGGCAGCCUCCUGGGCCAACACUGACGCUCAUGCACGAAAGCGUGGGAGCAAACAGG